AGUUUGAUCCUGGCUCAGAUUGAACGCUGGCGGCAUGCCUUACACAUGCAAGUCGAACGGCAGCACGGGAGUAAUCCUGGUGGCGAGUGGCGAACGGGUGAGUAAUAUAUCGGAACGUGCCCAGUCGUGGGGGAUAACGCAGCGAAAGCUGUGCUAAUACCGCAUACGAUCUCUGGAUGAAAGCGGGGGACUCGCAAGAGCCUCGCGCGAUUGGAGCGGCCGAUAUCAGAUUAGCUAGUUGGUGGGGUAAAGGCCCACCAAGGCGACGAUCUGUAGCUGGUCUGAGAGGACGACCAGCCACACUGGAACUGAGACACGGUCCAGACUCCUACGGGAGGCAGCAGUGGGGAAUUUUGGACAAUGGGCGCAAGCCUGAUCCAGCAAUGCCGCGUGCAGGAUGAAGGCCUUCGGGUUGUAAACUGCUUUUGUACGAAACGAAGAGGUCUGCCUUAAUACGGUGGGCCCAUGACGGUACCGUAAGAAUAAGCACCGGCUAACUACGUGCCAGCAGCCGCGGUAAUACGUAGGGUGCGAGCGUUAAUCGGAAUUACUGGGCGUAAAGCGUGCGCAGGCGGUUAUAUAAGGCAGAUGUGAAAUCCCCGGGCUCAACCUGGGACCUGCAUUUGUGACUGUAUAGCUAGAGUACG
RNAcentral lists this ribosomal RNA (647 nucleotides) under uncultured bacterium. Its description in RNAcentral is "bacterial SSU rRNA". It matches the Rfam family "Bacterial small subunit ribosomal RNA", at positions 10 to 650 of the family's 1533-position model. The record is from RNAcentral.